CAAGAACAUGCCUCUGUCAAAAUGAGGAUCUUCCUCUUGAUGUACUUUUUUUGUGUCCAGGAUAGUACCGAAGGUGGAUGUGUACAGAUUGCUAACAGAACCAUGGCACUCUUGACAAGCAGACCCAGAUGUUUGGAUGCUUGUUAUCCCCGCUGCAGAAGGUUAUCCCGUUUCCAGUUCUGCCCAAGAAGCAGAUCACAGAAGUGCUGCCUACUUCAGGAGUGAGCAGAGAGGUCAAGAGCAGGAGUUAUGCGGGGAAGAGAGAGGCAGCCACAAGGAUCUGCUGCAGCCACGAGGUCUCCUCCUCACCUCAGCUGCCCUGGGAGCAGGAAAUGUCCAACCUGCUCAGCCUGCUGUGUAUUUCAACAGUAAAUUAAAGGUCUUCGUUAGCUUAUUUGAUAGUUGAAUAAAAUGCUUUGAAACACUGGCA
Molecule: long non-coding RNA, 430 nt
Filed under: Struthio camelus australis
Lineage: Eukaryota; Metazoa; Chordata; Aves; Struthioniformes; Struthionidae
Description: lncRNA (ENSSCUG00000011173.1)
Source: RNAcentral